UACAGAGGUCCCAAGCGUUGUUCGGAUUCACUGGGCGUAAAGGGCGCGUAGGCGGCCCUGGUAAGUCUGCGGUGAAAGCCCGGGGCUCAACCCCGGGUCGGCCGCGGGUACUGCCGGGCUGGAGUGCCGUAGGGGCAGGCGGAAUUCCGGGUGUAGCGGUGGAAUGCGUAGAGAUCCGGAAGAACAUCGGUGGCGAAGGCGCUCUGCUGGACCAUAACUGACACUCAGGGACGAAAGCUAGGGGAGCGAAUGGG
RNAcentral lists this ribosomal RNA (254 nucleotides) under uncultured bacterium. Its description in RNAcentral is "partial 16S ribosomal RNA". It matches the Rfam family "Bacterial small subunit ribosomal RNA", at positions 524 to 776 of the family's 1533-position model. The record is from RNAcentral.